GUCCGUUUUUCUAUAUAAACAAGUUACAAUGUGUCGCACUUCUAAAAAGGAAAAAAAUGAAGCUGUUUCUACGUUUGCUUCUCCUACUUCUGAUACUAGUUAUAGCCGAGGAUAAUAAAAUAAAUCGUAUUUUGUAUAUUAAGAAACGUGUCACCAGCUAAUAUGAAUUUUAUUAAAUAAAUAUUACCUAUUUGUUCAUG
Long non-coding RNA from Drosophila biarmipes, 200 nucleotides. RefSeq lists it as uncharacterized. NCBI's taxonomy places the organism in Eukaryota, Metazoa, Arthropoda, Insecta, Diptera, Drosophilidae. The record is from RefSeq and is a predicted model, not a curated record. The transcript has 2 exons.